GCUCGGGAGCGGUGAGGGACCUGCACCCGAGCCUGCUGCAGGGUGUGCAGCGGUGGCUCCAGACGCAGAGGACAGCGUGGCUGGGCUGCUCCUGCUGCCACCCGCCUCGGCCCAGCCAGGAUGAGGAUGGAGCAAGGCAGGAGGAGGACAGGCUGCUGCCUCUCCUGGGUGCUGAAUUGAAAGCCUCUGUCCUUGGGGCUUGUUUGCAGUGACCCACCCUGGGCUGGGAGAGCUGCUCUGGCUGCCCAGUCUCGAGGCAAACGAGGCACAGAAGGCUUUGGCCAUCCAGGGUCUCUGAGAGGAAGGAUGGAAGAUGAUGUGUUCCCCCCGAUCCUGCAGCCCUUUCUGCUGUGGACUCGGAUCCUCUGCUCCAGUGAGCCCUCGGAUCAGUGCAUCAGGGGCUGGCUUGGGCUUCACACACCUUUCAACACAAUUUUUGAUUCUCAAGGGUUCUUUUUCGCUCUCCUUCUCUGUGCAUGUUUUUGCAGGAGGGGACUGUUGCACAGCUGAGCAGUGGUGUCAGUGUGUGCCCCAUGCCCUUCAGCACUCACCAAAGGGAAGGUUGUCAGUGACUCCCCCCUGUUCCCCAAAUCCCUAGAUGGGUUGUCCUGGUCUCCCCCCGCCUGGCGGUGGUUGUAGAAAUGCUGAUGGUGUGUUUGUCAGCAGCUGUGCUACAUCACCCCUUGCCCACAUGGGUCCUGGGGCCUUGGGGGAUGCCUGGCCCCUGCCAUGGAGCCUUGGUCUGUGUUCCCAUCCAUCCUGCUGGGGAUGGUGAGCUGGAGCUGAGCCCCUGGGCGCUGGUUGCUGCCCUGGCUGGUCAUGCACAGAGUCCCACCCCUACCGUGUACCAGAGGCACUGCUUCACAGCUUGUGUAGAAAUGGGGAUGGCAGAUGUCAUAUUAAAUCAUGGGGUUAUCAUUUAUUUAUAGGUGAUUACAUUAAAGAGAGAUUAAUAUAGCCGAAGGCUUCGCAGAAUUAGA
Molecule: non-coding RNA, 980 nt
Organism: Lonchura striata (white-rumped munia)
Lineage: Eukaryota; Metazoa; Chordata; Aves; Passeriformes; Estrildidae
Source: RefSeq, a predicted model, not a curated record